RNAcentral lists this ribosomal RNA (235 nucleotides) under uncultured Candidatus Saccharibacteria bacterium. RNAcentral describes it as "partial 16S ribosomal RNA". It matches the Rfam family "Bacterial small subunit ribosomal RNA", at positions 584 to 818 of the family's 1533-position model. Lineage: Bacteria; Candidatus Saccharimonadota. The record is from RNAcentral.
UAAGUAAGACGUGAAAUCGUACGGCUCAACCGUAUACACAUGUUUUAAACUGGUGAACUAGAGGAUGAGAGAGGUUAUUGGAAUUUCUAGUGUAGGAGUGAAAUCCGUAGAUAUUAGAAGAAACACCGAUGGCGUAGGCAGAUAACUGGCUCAUUUCUGACACUUAGGCACGAAAGCGUGGGGAGCGAACGGGAUUAGAUACCCCGGUAGUCCACGCCGUAAACUAUGGAUGCUA